Long non-coding RNA from Vicia villosa (hairy vetch), 626 nucleotides. RefSeq lists it as uncharacterized. Lineage: Eukaryota; Viridiplantae; Streptophyta; Magnoliopsida; Fabales; Fabaceae. The record is from RefSeq and is a predicted model, not a curated record. The transcript is spliced from 4 exons.
ACCUUCUCACUUCUCUCUCAAACCUCUCUUCCCUUUUCUCUGACUUUUUUUCUUUUUCACUACUCUCUCUGUUUUCAAUCUUCUUUCUCACAACUGGGGACAUCAUCUUCUUCAUCAUUUCAUUCAUCAUCAAUGGAUUGCUAUUCAUUACUCUUUACCAAGGAUUUAUCUUCUUAUUCAUCUUUCAGAUCUGAAACGGCUUCUGACUGGACCACCAGAUCUGAAAUUAAAACCACAAAAAUCAUCACCAGGCAUUGUUCUACAUCAAUGAGCCAUAACAUAUCUAUUUCCUCAAUGAGUUUUUCUCUUAACUACUUUUUCAGUAUUUGUAUGUUCUAUUUAUUCUAUUUAUUCUUUCUUCAUCAUUUUUUUUCCUUUUGUUUGCAUGUUUGAUUUUGUGGUUGAUGUUAAGGUGUGAAAGUAACUGUAGCUUGAUGGAAUUUUUGGGAAGCUGUUGCUGGUGUUUGAUGGUCUGCUUCUUCAAAAACAAGAUUUGCACAAGAAUUUAGGAGAGAGACUGUAUUUACCCUUCAAUUGAGUCUUUCCAAAGCACCAUGUCCAAUGGAACCAUUACUGCAGCAACCUACUCCUCAUUAUUUUUCUGAAUACCCUCAUCUAUGUAGUCG